This 468-nucleotide ribosomal RNA is filed under the name uncultured bacterium. Its description in RNAcentral is "partial 16S ribosomal RNA". It matches the Rfam family "Bacterial small subunit ribosomal RNA", at positions 28 to 507 of the family's 1533-position model. The record is from RNAcentral.
GACGAACGCUGGCGGCGUGCUUAACACAUGCAAGUCGAACGGAAAGGCCCUGCUUUUGUGGGGUGCUCGAGUGGCGAACGGGUGAGUAACACGUGAGUAACCUGCCCUUGACUUUGGGAUAACUUCAGGAAACUGGGGCUAAUACCGGAUAGGAGCUCCUGCUGCAUGGUGGGGGGUGGAAAGUUUCGGCGGUUGGGGAUGGACUCGCGGCUGAUCAGCUUGUUGGUGGGGUAGUGGCUUACCAAGGCUUUGACGGGUAGCCGGCCUGAGAGGGUGACCGGCCACAUUGGGACUGCGAUACGGCGCAGACUCGUACGGGAGGCAGCAGUGGGGAAUAUUGUCCAAUGGGCGGAAGCCUGAUGCAGCAACGCCGCGUGCGGGAUGACGGCCUUCGGGUUGUAAACAGCUUCAGCCUGUGACGAAGCGUGAGUGACGGUAAUGGGUAAAGAAGCACCGGCUAACUACGUG